UACGUAGGCAGCAAGCGUUGUUCGGAGUUACUGGGCGUAAAGAGUAUGUAGGCGGUUGGGUAAGUUUGGUGUGAAAUCUCCCGGCUUAACUGGGAGGGUGCGCUAAAGACUGCCUGGCUCGAGUGUGGGAGAGGAAAGCGGAAUUCCUAGUGUAGAGGUGGAAUUCGUAGAUAUUAGGAAGAACACCAGUGGCGAAGGCGGCUCACUGGUCCGGUACUGACGCUGAGGUGCGAAAGCGUGGGGAGCAAACAGG
Molecule: ribosomal RNA, 253 nt
Filed under: uncultured bacterium
Lineage: Bacteria
Description: partial 16S ribosomal RNA
Rfam family: Bacterial small subunit ribosomal RNA
Source: RNAcentral